Bufo bufo (common toad) is the source of this 292-nucleotide long non-coding RNA. RefSeq lists it as uncharacterized. NCBI's taxonomy places the organism in Eukaryota, Metazoa, Chordata, Amphibia, Anura, Bufonidae. The transcript has 3 exons. The record is from RefSeq and is a predicted model, not a curated record.
AAGGACUAAUUGCCCUAUUGUCUGGCCAAUCUAAUCAGAUAGAGCAAACAGUUUGUCCUUCAUUGUGAAGACUGACAAGAUGGCGGCUGUGAAACUCUAGGGGGUAAAGCACUGGUUUCUGACAAUACCCAGCAGGCCAAUCAAAAUGGGAGUUGUAGUUUUACAACAAGAUGCAUACCUCCUCGGCAGAGCAAUAGAACCUGCAUAUGGUUGUUAUCAGGGCACCAAAAACAGGAAGAUGCUUCCCUGACAACACGCCCGAUUCUUAAUAGACUGCUGCCACCAUUAGCCA